Molecule: ribosomal RNA, 1035 nt
Filed under: Triticum aestivum (bread wheat)
Lineage: Eukaryota; Viridiplantae; Streptophyta; Magnoliopsida; Poales; Poaceae
Description: partial small subunit ribosomal RNA
Source: RNAcentral
AUGCCUUUAGGGUAUGACUGCCCAUGCAAACCCGGAAUGAAAGGCGACGGGGAAGCAGGAACCUGCCGAGAAAUAUUCCCCCUAGUAGCAACGAUGGUUGUGGGUGUUGUAGGUGGUUUCUUUGUCAUGGCAAUUCCGCUAUUUCUCACUAUUCUUUGCAUAGAGAAAAAGAAGACGAGGGAGCUUUACCGAAAGAAUGGUGGGCCUAUAUUAGAGAAGGCAAACAUGAUAAAGCUUUUUAAAAAGGAGGAGCUCAAGCCAAUCUUGAAGAUUAAAAACUUAAUUGGAAAAGGUUACUUUGGUGAAGUCUACAAGGGCCUUCUUGAUAAUAAACUGGUUGCAGUGAAGAAACCAAUAAGUGGUAGUGCACUAGAGAAUGAACAAUUUGCCAAUGAAGUCAUCAUCCAAUCUCAAGUCAUCCACAAGAACAUCGUCAAGCUCAUAGCUUGUUGCCUAGAAGUUGAUAUCCCAAUGCUUGUCUAUGAAUUUCUCCCAAAAGAUUUGGAUGUGUGUUUAAGUAUUGCUGCAUCAUCAGCAGAUGGUCUUGCUUAUAUGCAUAAAACCAGUACCAAAAUCCUACAUGGGGAUGUUAAGCCGGUAAAUAUACUCUUGGAUGACAACUUCAUGCCAAAGAUAUCAGACUUUGGCAUAUCAAGAUUGAUUGCAAGAGACAAACAACACACAGAUGCAAUCAUUGGUGACAAGAGUUAUAUGGAUCCAGUAUAUAAGGUAACAGGACUACUCACAGAAAAAAGUGACGUCUACAGUUUUGGGGUCGUGAUUUUGGAACUUAUAAGUAGGAAAAGGGCCACAUAUUCUAACAACCAUAUCUUGGUAAGGAGUUUCCUUGAAGCUCAUAAAGAGGGCAGGAGGGCAACCAACUUGUUUGACGAAGAAAUUGCAGCGACAAGUAAAUUAGAACUUCUUGAUAGUCUGGCAAGAACAGCUGUUGAAUCUCUUAACCCCGAUGUGGAUCAAAGACCAUCAAUGAUAAGAGGUUGCAGAGCGCCUUCUCCUACUAAACCGAUCUCAUAG